GAGUUUGAUCAUGGCUCAGAUUGAACGCUGGCGGCAGGCCUAACACAUGCAAGUCGAGCGGAAACGAGUUAACUGAACCUUCGGGGGACGUUAACGGCGUCGAGCGGCGGACGGGUGAGUAAUGCCUAGGAAAUUGCCCUGAUGUGGGGGAUAACCAUUGGAAACGAUGGCUAAUACCGCAUGAUGCCUACGGGCCAAAGAGGGGGACCUUCGGGCCUCUCGCGUCAGGAUAUGCCUAGGUGGGAUUAGCUAGUUGGUGAGGUAAGGGCUCACCAAGGCGACGAUCCCUAGCUGGUCUGAGAGGAUGAUCAGCCACACUGGAACUGAGACACGGUCCAGACUCCUACGGGAGGCAGCAGUGGGGAAUAUUGCACAAUGGGCGCAAGCCUGAUGCAGCCAUGCCGCGUGUGUGAAGAAGGCCUUCGGGUUGUAAAGCACUUUCAGUCGUGAGGAAGGUAGUGUAGUUAAUAGCUGCAUUAUUUGACGUUAGCGACAGAAGAAGCACCGGCUAACUCCGUGCCAGCAGCCGCGGUAAUACGGAGGGUGCGAGCGUUAAUCGGAAUUACUGGGCGUAAAGCGCAUGCAGGUGGUUUGUUAAGUCAGAUGUGAAAGCCCGGGGCUCAACCUCGGAAUAGCAUUUGAAACUGGCAGACUAGAGUACUGUAGAGGGGGGUAGAAUUUCAGGUGUAGCGGUGAAAUGCGUAGAGAUCUGAAGGAAUACCGGUGGCGAAGGCGGCCCCCUGGACAGAUACUGACACUCAGAUGCGAAAGCGUGGGGAGCAAACAGGAUUAGAUACCCUGGUAGUCCACGCCGUAAACGAUGUCUACUUGGAGGUUGUGGCCUUGAGCCGUGGCUUUCGGAGCUAACGCGUUAAGUAGACCGCCUGGGGAGUACGGUCGCAAGAUUAAAACUCAAAUGAAUUGACGGGGGCCCGCACAAGCGGUGGAGCAUGUGGUUUAAUUCGAUGCAACGCGAAGAACCUUACCUACUCUUGACAUCCAGAGAACUUUCCAGAGAUGGAUUGGUGCCUUCGGGAACUCUGAGACAGGUGCUGCAUGGCUGUCGUCAGCUCGUGUUGUGAAAUGUUGGGUUAAGUCCCGCAACGAGCGCAACCCUUAUCCUUGUUUGCCAGCGAGUAAUGUCGGGAACUCCAGGGAGACUGCCGGUGAUAAACCGGAGGAAGGUGGGGACGACGUCAAGUCAUCAUGGCCCUUACGAGUAGGGCUACACACGUGCUACAAUGGCGCAUACAGAGGGCGGCCAACUUGCGAAAGUGAGCGAAUCCCAAAAAGUGCGUCGUAGUCCGGAUUGGAGUCUGCAACUCGACUCCAUGAAGUCGGAAUCGCUAGUAAUCGUGGAUCAGAAUGCCACGGUGAAUACGUUCCCGGGCCUUGUACACACCGCCCGUCACACCAUGGGAGUGGGCUGCAAAAGAAGUAGGUAG
This 1445-nucleotide ribosomal RNA is filed under the name Vibrio natriegens. RNAcentral's name for it is "16S ribosomal RNA". It matches the Rfam family "Bacterial small subunit ribosomal RNA". The record is from RNAcentral. Lineage: Bacteria; Pseudomonadati; Pseudomonadota; Gammaproteobacteria; Vibrionales; Vibrionaceae.